GCGGAACUGGCGGAAUUGGUAGACGCGCAAGAUUCAGGUUCUUGUGUCCGCAAGGACUUCGGGGUUCAAGUCCCCGGUUCCGCA
RNAcentral lists this transfer RNA (84 nucleotides) under Coleofasciculaceae cyanobacterium SM2_1_6. Its description in RNAcentral is "tRNA-Leu". It matches the Rfam family "tRNA". From Rfam's summary of the family: Transfer RNA (tRNA) molecules are approximately 80 nucleotides in length. Their secondary structure includes four short double-helical elements and three loops (D, anti-codon, and T loops). Further hydrogen bonds mediate the characteristic L-shaped molecular structure. tRNAs have two regions of fundamental functional importance: the anti-codon, which is responsible for specific mRNA codon recognition, and the 3' end, to which the tRNAs corresponding amino acid is attached (by aminoacyl-tRNA synthetases). tRNAs cope with the degeneracy of the genetic code in two manners: having more than one tRNA (with a specific anti-codon) for a particular amino acid; and 'wobble' base-pairing, i.e. permitting non-standard base-pairing at the 3rd anti-codon position. Lineage: Bacteria; Bacillati; Cyanobacteriota; Cyanophyceae; Coleofasciculales; Coleofasciculaceae. RNAcentral also lists the same sequence under 1 other name. The record is from RNAcentral.